AUUGAACGCUGGCAGCAGGCCUAACACAUGCAAGUCGAGCGAGCGGCGGACGGGUGAGUAAUGUAUGGGGACUGCCCGAUAGAGGGGUGUAACUACUGGAUACGGUAGCUAAUACCGCAUACAAUCCGAUAGCCCAUAUGGGCUUAGCUAUUAGGUGAGGUAAUGGCUCACCUAGGCGACGAUCCCUAGCUGGUCUGAGAGGAUGAUCAGCCACACUGGGACUGAGACACGGCCCAGACUCCUACGGAGGCAGCAGUGGGGAAUAUUGCACAAUGGGCGCAAGCCUGAUGCAGCCAUGCCGCGUGGAUGAAGAAGGCCCUAGGGUUGUAAAGUACUUUCAGUCGGGAGGCGUUACCGACAGAAGAAGCACCGGCUAACUCCGUGCCAGCAGCCGCGGUAAUUC
RNAcentral lists this ribosomal RNA (403 nucleotides) under uncultured bacterium. RNAcentral's name for it is "partial 16S ribosomal RNA". It matches the Rfam family "Bacterial small subunit ribosomal RNA", at positions 30 to 526 of the family's 1533-position model. The record is from RNAcentral.